Molecule: long non-coding RNA, 7606 nt
Filed under: Malus domestica (apple)
Lineage: Eukaryota; Viridiplantae; Streptophyta; Magnoliopsida; Rosales; Rosaceae
Description: long non-coding RNA (MDOM_LNC001914)
Source: RNAcentral
AUGGUUACCCAAGCUAAUCAGAAGAGGUGGAGAACCUAUUCAGUUUAGGAUUACAAAUGCAAUACGGUCUUUCUCUAAUACAAUACUCUUGACCACAUUGUUUUGGUUUGAUAGUUUAUUCAUGUCUACUAUCCAAUGUGAUUCGUGUGCUUAUAUGAUUACCUUGAAUGUGAUUUGGAACGACUUCCUAAAUCUCAUUCAUACUCUGGCCAGAGAUUCUUAAUCAUAUCAUAGAGUAUUCUCCUCCAAACGGUUUGAAGGUUAGAGAUCCCUUGUUGCGCAUUCACUUGCCUCCAUGGCUAAGUGGCUUAACCCCAACGAUGCCGUGGACACCCGCGGAUGGGGUGACUUUGACAUAAUCAAAGAUCAAGGACCUAACCACAAGACAACUAUGAUGCCUCAGGUCAAAGGACUACUUUGCAUUAUCCCAACCAUGAGUUCUCAUGUGACAUGAGUAUAUGAGAACUCUUCGUUGAUCGUGUUCAGUGAACUCAUUCUCUAUUGAGCACCUACGUACUUGUCUUGAUGUCACACACACCAAUGACUCGAGACUAGUCACUCUCCCUGAGAGAAGACACAGCACGUACUGAUCUUAACGGACUGUCAAUGCCCAAUUGGCAAUCCUAUGAUCAGGAACGUUUAGGAUGUGUCUACGAAAGAAUGGUCUCAUGAAUCUAACUUCUUUAGAUCGCAUUCUCCCAAUCACAUAUUCCUUGGACUUAUCGUUUAAGCAUAUAACAUUUAUAUGAGACGGCUCAAACAAUAAUCUUUGCCCUUGAUAUUAAACUAGAUUAGUUUAACAUGUGAAAUGUCCGUAAAGUAUCAUCAUAUGAUUGGUUUUAGGGCACAUUUCCAACAAUCUCCCACUUGCACUAGAGCCAAUCAGCUUGGUCAUCAGUGAUGAUACCUCUUCUGUAGUCAUUUCAUAAAUGGCUGAGUAGUAGGCCUAGACAAUGGAUAUCUAUAUGUUAUCCAUAGAAGCAACCUUGAGAAUAACGACGUCACCAUUAUACAUGAUUCUCAAUCAUGUGGUUCAGUCUCUCAUUUGAGUUCGGAUCUUGAUGAGACCUUGAUUCCCUGGCUUGAGCUAUCGCCCCAUUAGUGUCGUAGUGUCGGUACACUAGAGACACUUUCUGGUUGGAACCGAAUAGAGAGUUCAUAAAUGAACUUUCCCAUCCAAACAACAUUGUUGUAAGCUUCUAUAUGGCAAUAUAUUUUGCAUUCAUAAUGGAACACACUAAAGUCAUUACUUUUAAUGUUUCCAUCCAAAUAUCUCUUUAGUCAUAAUAAAGAGAUAUCUGAUUAUCUCUUCAUUCAUAAUGAAGAAACAUCCAAUGAUGGAUUAGAUUCAUAAUCUAAUACAUUUACGCUUCCUUUACGUUACUCUAAUUCUUCCUCAUUCUUUGAGGAAUCUAUCCUUUAGUAUUUCUUAAAUACUUAAGGGACUCACUUGACAGUUGCCAUGGUUCUGAUCCUGGGCUUGCAUUGAUAUUGUCUUGUACCGAUCUAGGUACAAUUCAUAUCAAUGUUUUUCAUACAAUAUGAAAUACAUAAAUCACCUUUCUGCGUAUGCAUAAAGGAUUCUAUUUACGCAUUAUGUUUCUUUAGGAGUCAAAAAGGUACGUUUGAGAAGAGCUACCUCCUAGUCUUAGUAGAGUUGUUCUUCUGAUUGAAGUUUAUCAUCAUAUGAGAAACUUCCUAGCAUCUUUUGUCUAUUAUUAGGGAUUGAUAUAAUCCAAUUAUAUCUUGAAAUAUAUCAUUAUAGAUUUCCAUCCCAUGUAUAUAGACUAUGUCUCCCAUAUCCAUUCUAUCGUUAUAGAAUGUUUAAAGUCAUAACUUUAACGAAGAAGUAUUCUUUUCAUUUCCAAAAUUAAUAUAUCAUAUAUGUGUGUAUAUAUAUAUAUAUAUAUAUAUUUAUUUAAAUUUAGGAACAUGAUUAACUCCCACUAAUCUUUUGUAAACCUAGUAAACAAAAGAUUCAUUUACAUCUUUAUGAGAAAUCAAACGAUUUGAUCUUUCUCUCAUAAGACGUUUAUAGCUCCCACUAGCUUGCUAAGAUCCAUGAUGGAUGGAUCUCUACAACUUACAUGUCUUGUGAUUCAUAGUUUUAGACAUAUAUAUUAUCAAGACUAUCUUAAUAAUGGUUUCGGAAACCCAUAUAAUGUCCAAACAUUGAAUCACCAUUUAGUUGUAGCUAGCAAUCUUCGAAUUAAUUGAAAACAAGACUACGUCAAAGAUGGUUUCUUCAAAGUCAACCAAUUUCUUUGAUUGUAGUCACCUUAAGCUACCAAUUAGCUAUAAAGGUUUCAUUAUUUCGGGUCAAAUGGUACUUUACCAUUUCCUUGAGUAUAUGUCAUAUAUACACUCAACGUAGUCAUAAGGAUUCUCAUUCUUAUUUCUUUCGAAUUAAGUGGUGUAACUCUAUGACAUAGUCAUAAAGUUCAAACCAUUCAACUGAGACAGUUUAUAAAUCCUUCUCGACUACCUUGGAGCUUUUGGUAUAGGAACUAGGUUGUUAUAUUUGUUGAUCACUAACUUGUUUCUCAAAGAACCCAUUCUUUGAGUUCUAUCCCUCGUUCAUUUGCUCUUUGGCAAACCAUAUUGUAGGAUUACAAUGAACUACCGAACAAACAACAUUUGUUAGUUGGGUUAUAGAAGUGGUAUCCAAAUGUUAAUAUAAGGAUACCCACAAGAUAAUUCUUUAAACACAUAUUGCUUGUUUAGCACACAACCCCAAAUCUUAACACGAUUAAGACUUGUCUUUCUUUCCAACUACAUCUUAUGGAGUCAUGAAAAUUUUGGAAGAUCUUUCUAAUUGACAAUCAUAUUGUCUUAGAAGCAUAUAUCCUAUAUAUGGGUAAUUGAUAACAUCCAACGAACUAAAUCUUAUUCAAGUUCGUUCUUCUCCUAAUGGAGAAAUCCAUUAUCUUUUGAUGCUUCUUUCCUUGAUAUUUUCAAGGAAACUGUUCUAAAGUGUUAUCUUUCCUUGGAUCAAAUCUAAGGAGGCAAAUACUUUAGACGUCUUACUCAUCAACUUACAUUUCUUGAAUUCUUUGAAACCUUUUGCAAAGUAUUCGGACUUGUGUUUAUUCAAAAUAAACUAUAGUCCAACCGAGAGUGAUCUUCGGUGAAUGUCAUACAACAUGAGUAGUAUUAUGUUGUGGACAAGUGCCACUAACAUCUAAGUGAAUUAACCUCAACAACUUUGUGAUUCUUUCUUCUUUCCAAAAGAAUAAAGAUUCGAACAUUUCGCCUCUAUACAAUUUUAAUAAGAAGGUGUUGGAUCCGGAUCUAACGAUCCAAAGCAUCCAUCUAUGACCAACUCGUAUUUUAUGUUUUUGAGGUAUCACAACUCAGUUGGGAUUAGUCACUACCUUGCAACCUUUGGGGUUUUAAGCAUCAUUAUAUUCAAAACAGUUAACACUAAUAAAGAACAAUGUUUUGCCAAACAAAACAUUCAUCCAUCUCUACUAUAGUGACGGAAUUAAGUUCCUUAAAAUUGGAAUGUAAAGACAAUCUUUGGUUUUUCCAAUUUCUUUGGUAGUUCAUAUGGGGAAGUAAGUACUAUCUGCUUUCGCAAAGAUCUUUAUUUUAUUCACAUUCCGAAUGUGAAGCACCUUUUUCUUCUCUCAUAUAUCUUCUACUUUUUAUUAGUCACACUUUUACAACGAUUGUAAAACAUAGUUACUAAUACGGAAUCAAGCAUUCAAGUAGAAGAACCAACUAUUUUGAACCAUUCAAGAACAAUUUACAACACUUUCGAAAGGUGUGUUCUUUGACACUUGCAAGACAUUUCUUGCAAAUACCCCUUCCAAUGUCCAUCAUUUCAUAAAGAAAGUUUGUUCCCUUGGAGUUAUUUCGCUUUCUUCAUUUGACUUCUCCUUUGUCUACAAUAGUCAUGGUCCCUAAACUCCCACUGUCUCUCUUGAAACUUAUUUCAAUUGUGUUAUACACAUCAAACGAUUUGGAGAGCGUGUGGUUAUUGUUCACUAUAUAGUUUACAAUAAACUUAGUGAACCAUUUGGAUAGGGACACAAAGGUGAAGUCCUUGCCUAGUUUCCGCUUCUAGAAGUGGUGUAACACUUUAACACUCAAUGAUUCAAAAUCAUCAUAAGUCCAUGUUGAUGGACUAUUUUUGUCAACCAACCAUUAUGUUCUAAACAUAAUUACAAACUUUCAAGAGUUGUUCAAGGCAACUCUCAUUUCUUCAUACAACAAUUUGUAAGUGAAGGAUUAUGGCACAUAAAGUGUCCAUGCCUUUGUGCUUUCUUCUUAAGUUCCUUGUUCAUGUAACAAAGAAACAAGCACUAAUGUUUGUGUUAGUUAAGGGUUGUUCAAAGCAACUCUUAUUUCUUCAUACAACGAUUUGUAAUUGAAGAAUUAUGACUUUAAAAGUGUUGUCCUCUUUAUGAUAGACUUAUCUAACAUGUUCUUCCAAUGGUACAUUAUCAAUAGGAAGAUUGUGAGGAUGAGACUACUUAGGUACAUUUACAAUCCAUUUAAGACAAUCUUUGGGAUUGUUGUACCAAGUCCGGAAACUAAAGCAUUCGGUUUUCUUUGUCAAGUUUUGGAUAGCGUUUGCAAAUAUAUUGGUAAACAAAUACAUAACGAAUAUAAAUUGAUUGAUUUUAAGCCAUUUGAUCCGGGUCUUUAAAUCAAAUAGCACCACCCACUAUUUUUGGCAAAUUCCAUAUCCCUCAUUGGAAUUCGAGAGUUUUGGAGGAAACUCUUAGUAGGGUAUGGGAGACUCACUACUACCAAGCCCACCUCACAAUGAUAUGAUGUUGGCUAGCAUUAAUAAUAAUGAGAGAGUACGCUUACUCAUUUGCAUCUCUUGCAAGUACCCAUCUUAUUUGGCCUCUAGAGAAUGUAGCCUCACAAUGAUAUGAUGUUGGCUCCAUUGCACUUAGUUAAGUCAUUCCCACCAUGCAAGUUCGGGUAGGGGUUCAAGAACAACCUCACAAUGAUAUGAUGUUGGCUAUUCUCGUUGCCUACCUUUCACAACAUCAAAUAUGCAUAUAGACUCCUCCUGAGUGUAAGCACGCACUUUGUACUCCCCCAUGAUAGGGUGAAGCCGAUGUACGAGUCACAAACGAUCGGAGCCUACCACGGUGGAAGGCCACGAAAGAGUGUUCAAAGCACUCUCACGCUUCUCAACUUAAUAAUGGUUUGGUUGAGGGUUUUUAGGUCUCAUCACAUAUAAAUAUUCAUUUUAAUCUUUAUUAAAACAAUUUUGGUCCUAUUACAACUAUUGGUCCAUUUGAUUGAAUUUAGUUGUAUAUAAUACUCUCACUAUGCUUAUAAAACGGUUUUUAAAGCAAGAGUAUACUACUAACAUAAACUUUGCAUUCAUUUGAUGGACUAUAUAGUUGCCUUAGGGCCUUAGGAUGACUAUGAACCUUUGUUUAGAUUCAACACGAGCAUAGUGUUGAAUCUCGGUCUAGGGAUGGUGAUUGAUUUUAGUUACGCGGUUUAAUCACAUUAAGGCGUGUUGUCUUAGGGGCGUUGGACGCUCUACUCCAAAAUUUCAACAAAUACAAAAACAUCAUUAAAGGAGCAAAACAAUUUGUCCUUUAGCGUUUUUGGACCUAUACGUAAAAACGUAAACUUUUGGGCCAAAGUGCAAAUACACAAAAGUAUCAAAACUUUAUGUAAUUGCAUAAAAGCCCCAAAAGUACCCUAUUUUAAUAGGGUGGCCGGUUUUAGAGAGAAGGGAGUGAUGUGUGUGUUGAUUUGUAGGUUUAGACAUAAAGCAUGGAAGUGGUGCAUGACAUAAAUGUCAUGCAAGUGGUGUGUGUGAAAGGGAAUUAAUCCUUACACACCCACCAAUAUUUCUUACACCUUUCUAAUAAAUAUCUAAAACACUUAAACAUAUGAAAAACAUAAAACAUAAACUUUAUGAAAUAAAUCAAAACUUUGAAUAAAAACACCAAACUUUUUGUUCUUGGCAAAAAUGUCAAGAACAAUGAAGAACACUCAUGAAAAACUCAAAAAAUUUCCAUGAACAUUUUUCACCCAAAAACAUCCCAAAACCAUUCAAACUUAAGGGAAAUAACAUAUAACCAAACUAGGGUACAUAGGGGUUCCAAAAGUUACUUGAAAACAUUUUUAACAAGUCAAACAAGAACCCUAAAAUCCACCCUUUGGAUUUGGCCGAAAAUUCCCAAAAACAUGGCACCAAAUUUUAGCUCCAAUAUUCAUGCUCAUAUGAACUACAUCUACAACAUUUGAGAUGGCAAAUUUUAUAACAAAAUUUACAUUCAAAGAAGCAAGAAUAAAGCUUGUAACAAUUACAACAUUCAAAUCAUAAACUAUGAUAAUACAAAACCCAAAAGGAUUCACCAACUACUAGACCUAGGCUCUGAUACCACUUGAAGGAAAUUUUGUGAAAAACAUGUUCAUUUGAGCAACAUCUAUAGCAUGCAAUAAACAAAUUAAAGGCGGAAUCAUGCUUGCAUGCACUCAAAACAAAACAUUACCCAUUAAAUUCAAAGCCUAGUAGAUUGGUGAACCUUGACUCAACUUAAAACAACAUUUGUUAGUUGAGAAAUUAUACCUUUGUAGAUUCCUCUUUGCAUAAGCAAAGGCUAAUCACCCAAAGAGAGGGCCUUCAUUCCUUGCAUCUUAGAUCUAUGGAUUUGGAUGGAUGAAAUGGUUCUCCAAGUUCCCAAAAUUGAGAACCUCUAAGUCUCUUAACCAAGGUUAGAUUGGAGAAGAAAUGAAUGACCUUGGAGUAGUAGGAUUGCUAGCUAAACCCUCCAAGGAGGCCGGCCACUUUAGAGAGAAAGGAGAGCUUAUGUUCUCAUCCUUUCCCCAAAAGAAAACCCUAAAUGAAUUUUGGCUAUAAAGUCAUAUUUAUACCUUAAUUCAUUGGAGUGGCAAACUUGUAAAUAAGUCCAAAACUCACUCCAUCUCUAAAUGGCCAGGCUUAGGUAUUAUUGGGCUAAUUGGGCCUUUGUGAAUCAUUAUUCAUUAAGUUGUCAUACAACUUAAGUCAAUGGGCUUGACGUUCAAAGCCCAUGGGCCUUAAGGUCCAAAACUAUCCCGAGGUCUUUAACGAACUUAUUCGUUUGUUAAUUAACAUAUUAAUUAAUCUUUGCCAUAAAUAAUUAAACCAUUUAAUUAUUCUUACUCAUCUCCAUUGUUUCUUCAAUCCCCACCUUACACGGUGUACGAUCCAUUAGGUUCCUUUUAGCGAGGCAGUGGGCGAUUAAAACCAUUUCAAAUCGAUUGUGAAUUGCAACUUACUUUCAAUUCUCCCUUUAGUGAUUAUACACAUUUAGGGCUUCCACAAACCACGAGUGACACCUAGCAGCAUAUCAUGGUUACCCAAGCUAAUCAGAAGAGGUGGAUAACCUAUUCAGUUUAGGAUUACAAAUGCAAUACGGUCUUUCUUUAAUACAAUACUCUUGACCACAUUAUUUGGUUUGAUAGUUUAUUCAUGUCUACUAUCCAAUGUGAUUCGUGUGCUUAUAUGAUUACCUUGAAUUUGAUUUGGAACGACUUCCUAAAUCUCAUUCAUACUCUGGCCAGAGAUUCUUAAUCAUAUCAUAGAGUAUUCUCCCCCAACCGGUUUGAAGGUUAGAGAUCCCUUGUUGCGCAUUCA